This 253-nucleotide ribosomal RNA is filed under the name uncultured bacterium. RNAcentral describes it as "partial 16S ribosomal RNA". It matches the Rfam family "Bacterial small subunit ribosomal RNA", at positions 524 to 776 of the family's 1533-position model. The record is from RNAcentral.
UACGGGGGGGGUAAGCGUUGUUCGGAAUUAUUGGGCGUAAAGGGCGCGUAGGCGGCUAGAUGUGUCAAAGGUGAAAUCCCUCGGCUCAACUGAGGAACUGCCUUUGAAACUGUCUGGCUUGAGGCCGGGAGAGGGUAGCGGAAUUCCCAGUGUAGCGGUGAAAUGCGUAGAUAUUGGGAGGAACACCAGUGGCGAAGGCGGCUACCUGGACCGGUUCUGACGCUGAGGCGCGAAAGCGUGGGUAGCAAACAGG